This 497-nucleotide ribosomal RNA is filed under the name uncultured bacterium. RNAcentral's name for it is "partial 16S ribosomal RNA". It matches the Rfam family "Bacterial small subunit ribosomal RNA", at positions 28 to 507 of the family's 1533-position model. The record is from RNAcentral.
GAUGAACGCUGGCGGCGUGCCUAAUACAUGCAAGUCGAGCGAACAGACGAGGAGCUUGCUCCUCUGACGUUAGCGGCGGACGGGUGAGUAACACGUGGAUAACCUACCUAUAAGACUGGGAUAACUUCGGGAAACCGGAGCUAAUACCGGAUAAUAUAUUGAACCGCAUGGUUCAAUAGUGAAAGACGGUUUUGCUGUCACUUAUAGAUGGAUCCGCGCCGCAUUAGCUAGUUGGUAAGGUAACGGCUUACCAAGGCGACGAUGCGUAGCCGACCUGAGAGGGUGGUCGGCCACACUGGAACUGGGACACGGUCCAGACUCCUACGGGAGGCAGCAGUAGGGAAUCUUCCGCAAUGGGCGAAAGCCUGACGGAGCAACGCCGCGUGAGUGAUGAAGGUCUUCGGAUCGUAAAACUCUGUUAUUAGGGAAGAACAGAUGUGUAAGUAACUAUGCACGUCUUGACGGUACCUAAUCAGAAAGCCACGGCUAACUACGUG